UGUAUAAAGUACACAUAAUUGAGUGUUUAU
RNAcentral lists this ribosomal RNA (30 nucleotides) under Corethrella wirthi. Lineage: Eukaryota; Metazoa; Arthropoda; Insecta; Diptera; Corethrellidae. The record is from RNAcentral.